RNAcentral lists this ribosomal RNA (497 nucleotides) under uncultured bacterium. Its description in RNAcentral is "partial 16S ribosomal RNA". It matches the Rfam family "Bacterial small subunit ribosomal RNA", at positions 28 to 507 of the family's 1533-position model. The record is from RNAcentral.
GAUGAACGCUGGCGGCGUGCCUAAUACAUGCAAGUCGAACGAAAAGACGAGGCGCUUGCUCCUCUGACGUUAGCGGCGGACGGGUGAGUAACGCGUGGAUAACCUACCUAUAAUACUGGGAUAACUUCGGAAAACCGGAGCUAAUACCGGAUAAUAUAUUGAACCGCAGGGGGCGAUGGAGAGAGACGGUUUUGGUGGCAGUUAUCGAGGGAUACGCGCCGGAUGAGCUGGUUGGGAAGGUAAAGGCUUACGAAGGGAACGAGGCGUAGCCGACGGGAGGGGGUGAUCGGCCACACUGGAACUGAGACACGGUCCAGACUCCUACGGGAGGCAGCAGUAGGGAAUCUGCCGCAAUGGGCGAAAGCCUGACGGAGCAACGCCGCGUGAGUGAUGAAGGUCUUCGGAGCGUAAAACUCUGUUAUUAGGGAAGAACAAAUGUGUAAGUAACUAUGCACGUCGUGACGGUACCUAAUCAGAAAGCAACGGCUAACUACGUG